CGGGAUGUAGCGCAGCCUGGUAGCGUACUAGCAUGGGGUGCUAGGGGUCGCUGGUUCGAAUCCAGUCAUCCCGAC
Molecule: transfer RNA, 75 nt
Filed under: Flavobacterium succinicans
Lineage: Bacteria; Pseudomonadati; Bacteroidota; Flavobacteriia; Flavobacteriales; Flavobacteriaceae
Also listed under: 3 other names
Description: tRNA-Pro
Rfam family: tRNA
About the family: Transfer RNA (tRNA) molecules are approximately 80 nucleotides in length. Their secondary structure includes four short double-helical elements and three loops (D, anti-codon, and T loops).
Source: RNAcentral